Molecule: long non-coding RNA, 934 nt
Organism: Hyla sarda
Lineage: Eukaryota; Metazoa; Chordata; Amphibia; Anura; Hylidae
Exons: 5
Source: RefSeq, a predicted model, not a curated record
ACCAUUGUCCACCAAAGAGCAGCACUGAGCAGAAAUAACACGGCUCCUGUUCAUUCUCCAUCAGUGAGGGGCCGGUGCUGGACACUGUGUAGGGACGCGGGAAUGCAAAGUCAUACACAUGACUGUGACUGAUGCACUAUCUCCAGGACAUGGAGUAGCAUUUCCGGACCUACAGCAAGACGUUGGAUGAAGGCAUAGCCCCAGAAAUAACACUGGUCCUGUUCAUCAGUGAGGGGCCGGUGCUGGACACUGUGUAGGGACACGGGAAUGCAAAGUCAUGCACAUGACUGUGACUGAUGCACUAUUUCCAGGACAUGGAGUAGCAUUUCGGGACCUACAGCAAGACGUUGGAUGAAGGCAUAGCCCCAGAAAUAACACUGGUCCUGUUCAUCAGUGAGGGGCCGGUGCUGGACACUGUGUAGGGACACGGGAAUGCAAAGUCAUGCACAUGACUGUGACUGAUGCACUAUCUCCAGGACAUGGAGUAGCAUUUCCGGACCUACAGCAAGACGUUGGAUGAAGGCAUAGCCCCAGAAAUAACACUGGUCCUGUUCAUCAGUGAGGGGCCGGUGCUGGACACUGUGUAGGGACACGGGAAUGCAAAGUCAUGCACAUGACUGUGACUGAUGCACUAUUUCCAGGACAUGGAGUAGCAUUUCGGGAACUACAGCAAGACGUUGGAUGAAGGCACAGGCCUAGGAAUCAUGCACAUACACAGAAACAUUUGCCCAAAUUAUAGAGGUAACCUCCUUUAGUAUGCCCAGAGGAAGGGCCAUACAGUAGCCAUGGAUUCCCUACAGGUUUCCUCCCCUCUGGAGGUUUUUCCUGUCCUGAGUAUUAGUUACUGUACGCUCUUUGUGAGUGAUGGGAGGUUACAAAAAAUCCCCUACACAAACAUUUUAAUAAAUAAUAAAUAAAGUUCCCCUUUUUUUAA